CCCCGCCUCACCCACCUACAACGCUGGCCCGAACAGAGCACCGUGUGUAGGGCACAGUGGGACGACCUCAGGGCCUCCUAAUAAGCAACAGCAGCCAUGGAGCCGGACCUCUGAAGAGAUCCAGCAACAAUGAUUGUAUAAUGAAAUGGAAACGACAGCAAAACUUGAGCUCAGCUACCAAACGGCAGCGCCGUGAGGGGAAGGCUUGUCCGAACUCAUUAGGGUUUCUGUAUGUGUCUCUCUUCUUUUUUUGCAGGCAUUCCCACUUCUGAUCGGACUGAUGUUUUUCAGUGAGGUGCUUCGAACCUGGCAGGCUCAGUAUAUGCGGUGUGCGAUUGGACGGUGGAAAUACCCAAACCUGCCUGGGCCCCUUAUCAUGUACAGCACACAAAUUACGCAAAGCAGCAUCCAUCUGCCGCACAAAUAGAGCUCCAACCCGAACCGGCGCUCUUCCAUUGUUCUGGCCGUUCGCCGCCCCUCCCGGGGUAAUUCAUGUGCCCCGCUACUCUGCUCACCCGUCACUGGCUAUUCACUUAAACCUGAAACAUUUCCAUGGGCACAAAGGCUUCAAACAUGGCCGUGACAAAAGAAAGGAUUUCUGCGUUUCUAUUCUUUUCCUCCUCUCUGUCUUUCUCCUUUCUUCAAGACAUUGUGUUGUUUAAUUGGUUGUGCUUGGUAAUUUUGUCUCUUGUCUUCUCCCAUACUGAGUGAUUGUGCGGGGACGGACGUUUGCUUUGACUGGAUCGGACAGGAGCGGGCUCCCUCCCGUAUGCUGGGAGCCGUCUACCUUUGUUAGGUACACGGAGUUCGGUUCGGGCUCCGUGUGUGGUAAGGUUUGGGAAUCCUGCACGGAUGUCGUGGGAAUGCCGAGGAAACGUCCCUCCUCAUGCCGCUGAAUGACUGAGAUGACCCCUCAGUGACGUGCUCAAUGAAUUCAUAUCUCCGGUCUUGCUGUGCUGGGCUUCUGGCUGAAAGAGCAUCAAGGUUAACAGUCUAUGGAGAGAGUGGAAAAGGAGGAGAGGACGAAGAAGAGAUGUGUAAUACCCCCAUCUGCCUCACAGGGGUGCCAUAGACCUAUGAUCAAACCAAGCACUCUCGUAUUGUACAACCUAACAAGCAGCAGUCUUAAAGGACAGAAACAAUUGCACAGUGUACACAGAGACUGAGGCAUCAUCAGAGAGGAAGAGGGAGGGACCGCCGAUGUAGAGGUAUGAUGACGGACGGCUGGAGACUGCGGAAAAGAGAAAGACUGAGAGAAAGAGGUGUGGUUAGGUGGACUGCAUUGUUAGAAGCAGAAUAAAUCAGUCUGGUCAGUCUCUGCAGGGCUUCACCGUUCUGGG
Molecule: long non-coding RNA, 1340 nt
Organism: Onychostoma macrolepis
Lineage: Eukaryota; Metazoa; Chordata; Actinopteri; Cypriniformes; Cyprinidae
Exons: 4
Source: RefSeq, a predicted model, not a curated record